GGGUGCAUAGCUCAGUGGUAGAGCGCAACAUUUGCAUUGUUGAGGCCGAGGAUUCGAUCUCCCCUGCAUCCA
Trichomonas vaginalis G3 is the source of this 72-nucleotide non-coding RNA. NCBI's taxonomy places the organism in Eukaryota, Parabasalia, Trichomonadida, Trichomonadidae. The record is from Rfam.